GACUACAGAGUACUAUAGCUUGAAUUCUUCUGGGCAACAAUUUCCUAAUCGAGAGAAAUUAGAAGACCCUCAGUUGUAUCAUUAUGCAUUAUUCUCAGAUAAUGUUCUGGCUGCAGCAGUUGUUGUGAACUCCACUGUUACCCAUGCUAAGGACCCUUCGAAACAUGUUUUUCAUAUCGUUACUGAUAGACUCAACUAUGCAGCAAUGAGAAUGUGGUUUCUAGU
This 225-nucleotide unclassified non-coding RNA is filed under the name Hevea brasiliensis (rubber tree). The record is from RNAcentral. Lineage: Eukaryota; Viridiplantae; Streptophyta; Magnoliopsida; Malpighiales; Euphorbiaceae.